Molecule: ribosomal RNA, 301 nt
Filed under: uncultured bacterium
Lineage: Bacteria
Description: partial 16S ribosomal RNA
Rfam family: Bacterial small subunit ribosomal RNA
Source: RNAcentral
CAGUAGCCGCGGUAAUACGUAGGUGGCAAGCGUUGUCCGGAAUUAUUGGGCGUAAAGGGCUCGCAGGCGGUUUCUUAAGUCUGAUGUGAAAGCCCCCGGCUCAACCGGGGAGGGUCAUUGGUAACUGGGAAACUUGAGUGCAGAAGAGGAGAGUGGAAUUCCACGUGUAGCGGUGAAAUGCGUAGAGAUGUGGAGGAACACCAGUGGCGAAGGCGACUCUCUGGUCUGUAACUGACGCUGAGGAGCGAAAGCGUGGGGAGCGAACAGGAUUAGAUACCCCCGUAGUCCCUGUCUCUUAUAC